GACGAACGCUGGCGGCGUGCUUAACACAUGCAAGUCGAACGGUGAAGCCCUUCGUGGUGGUUCAGUGGCGAACGGGUGAGUAACACGUGAGCAACCUGCUCCUGGCUCUGGGACAACCACUGGACACGGUGGCUAAUACCGGAUACGACCCGCCUCGGCAUCGAGUGUGGGUGGAAAGUUUUUCGGCUGGGGUUGGGCUCGCGGCCUAUCAGCUUGUUGGUGAGGUGAAGGCUCGCCAAGGCGACGACGGGGAGCCGGCCUGAGAGGGCGACAGGCCACACUGGGACUGAGACACGGCCCAGACUCCUACGGGAGGCAGCAGUGGGGAAUAUUGCACAAUGGGCGAAAGCCUGAUGCAGCGACGCCGCGUGAGGGAUGACGGCCUUCGGGUUGUAAACCUCUUUCAGCUCCGAAGAAGCGAAAGUGACGGUAGGAGCAGAAGAAGCACCGGCUAACUACGUG
RNAcentral lists this ribosomal RNA (462 nucleotides) under uncultured bacterium. RNAcentral's name for it is "partial 16S ribosomal RNA". It matches the Rfam family "Bacterial small subunit ribosomal RNA", at positions 28 to 507 of the family's 1533-position model. The record is from RNAcentral.